RNAcentral lists this long non-coding RNA (1635 nucleotides) under Mytilus galloprovincialis (Mediterranean mussel). The record is from RNAcentral. Lineage: Eukaryota; Metazoa; Mollusca; Bivalvia; Mytilida; Mytilidae.
UUUUGUAGUAUGGCGAGUAAUUGGACUGUUUGUGGUGUAUGCAAUUUCCGAAACAUCAACAAAGCAUCAAUAGUAUGGUGUUCAGAAUGUGACGAGGGACUUUGUGGCGAGUGUAGUGAACAACAUGGAGCCGUAAAAUCAUCUAGAAACCAUAGCGUUAUAUCUGUCACAGAGUACCAGAAACUACCAUCCAAUGUAUUAGAAAUUGCACAAACAUGUCAAAAACAUAAAGAACAAUAUCAAAUAUUCUGUAAGAAACAUGAUUGCCCGUGUUGUAGACGAUGUGUUAUAGAGACACACAAUGAGUGUAAAGAUUUGAUAGCAAUAGAUGACAUCGUCCAAAAUGUCAAGUCAUCGAGUGCAUUUUUCGAUGUAGAACAAACGCUGGUCCAAAUGUUGGAAAAUGUCCGAAGAAUUCGUAAUGACCGCACGGAAAAUUUAAAAUGUCUUUUGGAUCAAAGAGUAAAGAUUGAACGUGAUAUAAAACAAACCCGGAAAAUGAUCAACGACCACUUAGACAAAAUACAGGACAAAAUAAUUAAAGAAUUAUAUGCUAAUGAAGAAAAUGAAAGUAAGAGAAUAAAGCUGUUGUUGUGUGAGAUUGAAGGCAUUGAAAAGGGAAUUUCUGACCUCCAAGGUAACCAAAAUAACAUAAGGCAACAUGCAUCAGAACUUCAAACAUUUUUAGCAUUAAAGCACAUUGAAAAAGAGGUUUCUGAUAAAGCAGAAUGUAUUCAGUCUGUCCUUAAGAACGAGGACAUGAAGAUAAAAACACUGGCUUUGGAGGUUAACAAAGACGUACAAAACAUUUGCAUGGCUGAUUGUUUUGGGUCCGUUAGUGUUGAUUCAAAAUCGUGCAAAGUUGUUAUUGACAGUAACAAAAACAAAGAAGCUCAGAUGAUGAUACCUAGUUUAAUUUCCAAAUGCAUAGAUGAUAUCAAACUAAGCAACAAAAUGCAAAUUGAUUUGCAAUCUGCUGGAUGUGUUACAGGUUGCGCAAUUCUACCAAAUGGCAAGAUGAUGUUCUGUGAUUAUAAUAAUCGAAAUUUAAUUGCGUUGAAAAGCAACGGUAUGCAUGAGUUUGAAAUUCGGCUAGAUACACGCGCAUUUGAUUUAGCAUAUUUUGAAAGAGAAAAUUCCAUUGCCGUUACAAGUGGCGCUUGGUUCAAAAGUUAUUCACAUUAUUGACCCUAACAGCAGAACAAUCAAGAGAACUAUACAAAGAGAGUGAAUAUCCAUAUGGUAUAGCACUGAAUAAAACUGUCCUGGUAUACUGUAAGUUAGGUAAAGGAAUAAUGGAAGUUCAAUUGAAUGGUGAAUCAGAAAAGGCACUUGUUAGCUUUAGUAUGCCACACUAUUCGUAUGUUGCAGUGCAUGGUGACAAUAUCUAUUAUACAAAUAGAAAACCUCUGUAACAUGCUAUGAUAUCCUUGGAAAUCUAAAAUGGGAAUUUAAGGAUACACAAAUAUUCGCAAUAUCCACAGGGUAUAUCUGUAGACAACAAUGGAAACGUGUAUGUUGCCAGUAGGGAUAAAAACAGCGUUGUCAUCAUAACCCCUGAUGGAAAGCGUUGCAGAACAAUAUUGUCCUCUCGUGAUGGCCUUAGUAAUCCAUGUGCAUUGCAUUUCGAACCAA